AGGUCCCACCAUAGGAAGCGUGCUAACAACAACCAGCCUCCGCGAAGUAAUAUCUAACAGUGUUCCCGCCGGCGAGAGUGGUGAAGAAAGCGUGUGUGGGGGUAGUUUUUAGUACGUAGGCGCCAUGGAUGGCGAAUCGUGCAUGCUGCUAGCGAGAACCAGUAUCUCUUGAAGAUUUUCUACCCCCUGCUC
This is a non-coding RNA of Glossina morsitans morsitans, 192 nucleotides long. NCBI's taxonomy places the organism in Eukaryota, Metazoa, Arthropoda, Insecta, Diptera, Glossinidae. The record is from Rfam.